Molecule: ribosomal RNA, 468 nt
Filed under: uncultured bacterium
Lineage: Bacteria
Description: partial 16S ribosomal RNA
Rfam family: Bacterial small subunit ribosomal RNA
Source: RNAcentral
GACGAACGCUGGCGGCGUGCUUAACACAUGCAAGUCGAACGGAAAGGCCCUGCUUUUGUGGGGUGCUCGAGUGGCGAACGGGUGAGUAACACGUGAGUAACCUGCCCUUGACUUUGGGAUAACUUCAGGAAACUGGGGCUAAUACCGGAUAGGAGCUCCUGCUGCAUGGUGGGGGUUGGAAAGUUUCGGCGGUUGGGGAUGGACUCGCGGCUUAUCAGCUUGUUGGUGGGGUAGUGGCUUACCAAGGCUUUGACGGGUAGCCGGCCUGAGAGGGUGACCGGCCACCAUGGGACUGGGAUACGGGCCAGACUCCUACGGGAGGCAGCAGUGGGGAAUAUUGCACAAUGGGCGGAAGCCUGAUGCAGCAACGCCGCGUGCGGGAUGACGGCCUUCGGGUUGUAAACCGCUUUCGCCUGUGACGAAGCGUGAGUGACGGUAAUGGGUAAAGAAGCACCGGCUAACUACGUG